RNAcentral lists this ribosomal RNA (405 nucleotides) under uncultured bacterium. RNAcentral describes it as "bacterial SSU rRNA". It matches the Rfam family "Bacterial small subunit ribosomal RNA", at positions 355 to 776 of the family's 1533-position model. The record is from RNAcentral.
UAGGGAAUAUUGCACAAUGGGCGCAAGCUUGAUGCAGCAACGCCGCGUGCGCGAUGAAGGCCUUCGGGUCGUAAAGCGCUUUUCGGGGAGAUGAGGAAGGACAGUAUCCCCGGAAUAAGUCUCGGCUAACUACGUGCCAGCAGCCGCGGUAAAACGUAGGAGGCAAGCGUUAUCCGAAUUUACUGGGCGUAAAGCGUGUGCAGGCGGUUCGGUAAGUUGGGUGUGAAAUCUCCUGGCUCAACUGGGAGAGGUCGCUCAAGACUGUCGGACUGGAGGGCAGGAGAGGGAGGUGGAAUUCCCGGUGUAGUGGUGAAAUGCGUAGAUAUCGGGAGGAACACCAGUGGCGAAAGCGGCCUCCUGGACUGUACCUGACGCUGAGACACGAAAGCUAGGGGAGCGAACGGG